This 254-nucleotide ribosomal RNA is filed under the name uncultured bacterium. RNAcentral's name for it is "partial 16S ribosomal RNA". It matches the Rfam family "Bacterial small subunit ribosomal RNA", at positions 524 to 776 of the family's 1533-position model. The record is from RNAcentral.
UACGAAGGGGGCUAGCGUUGUUCGGAAUCACUGGGCGUAAAGCGCUCGUAGGCGGAUCUUUAAGUCAGAGGUGAAAUCCCAAGGCUCAACCUUGGAACUGCCUUUGAUACUGGGGAUCUCGAGUCCGGGAGAGGUGAGUGGAACUGCGAGUGUAGAGGUGAAAAUUCGUAGAUAUUCGCAAGAACACCAGUGGCGAAGGCGGCUCACUGGCCCGGUACUGACGCUGAGGAGCGAAAGCGUGGGGAGCAAACAGG